This 253-nucleotide ribosomal RNA is filed under the name uncultured bacterium. Its description in RNAcentral is "partial 16S ribosomal RNA". It matches the Rfam family "Bacterial small subunit ribosomal RNA", at positions 524 to 776 of the family's 1533-position model. The record is from RNAcentral.
UACAGAGGGGGCAAGCGUUGUUCGGAAUUACUGGGCGUAAAGGGCGCGUAGGCGGCCUGCUAAGUCGAACGUGAAAUCCCCGGGCUCAACCCGGGAACUGCGUCCGAUACUGGCAGGCUUGAAUUCGGGAGAGGGAUGCGGAAUUCCAGGUGUAGCGGUGAAAUGCGUAGAUAUCGGAAGGAACGUCGAUGGCGAAGGCAGCCACCUGGCAUAAUACUGACGCUGAGGCGCGAAAGCGUGGGGAGCGAACAGG